GCCUAACACAUGCAAGUCGAACGGCAGCACAGUAAGAGCUUGCUCUUAUGGGUGGCGAGUGGCGGACGGGUGAGGAAUACAUCGGAAUCUACUCUUUCGUGGGGGAUAACGUAGGGAAACUUACGCUAAUACCGCAUACGACCUACGGGUGAAAGCGGAGGACCUUCGGGCUUCGCGCGAUUGAAUGAGCCGAUGUCGGAUUAGCUAGUUGGCGGGGUAAAGGCCCACCAAGGCGACGAUCCGUAGCUGGUCUGAGAGGAUGAUCAGCCACACUGGAACUGAGACACGGUCCAGACUCCUACGGGAGGCAGCAGUGGGGAAUAUUGGACAAUGGGCGCAAGCCUGAUCCAGCCAUGCCGCGUGGGUGAAGAAGGCCUUCGGGUUGUAAAGCCCUUUUGUUGGGAAAGAAAAGCAGUCGGUUAAUACCCGAUUGUUCUGACGGUACCCAAAGAAUAAGC
RNAcentral lists this ribosomal RNA (458 nucleotides) under Xanthomonas arboricola pv. pruni. RNAcentral's name for it is "bacterial SSU rRNA". It matches the Rfam family "Bacterial small subunit ribosomal RNA", at positions 46 to 491 of the family's 1533-position model. The record is from RNAcentral. Lineage: Bacteria; Pseudomonadati; Pseudomonadota; Gammaproteobacteria; Lysobacterales; Lysobacteraceae.